Molecule: ribosomal RNA, 380 nt
Filed under: uncultured bacterium
Lineage: Bacteria
Description: bacterial SSU rRNA
Rfam family: Bacterial small subunit ribosomal RNA
Source: RNAcentral
AGUUAACGUUGGCGGCGUGCCUAACACAUGCAAGUCGAACGCGUCCUAAGGGCAACUUUAGGAUGAGUGGCGAACGGGUGAGUAUCACGUGGGUAAUCUUCCUUUAAGUGGGGAAUAAGCUCUCGAAAGGGAGUCUAAUACCGCAUGACAUUCCGGGACACAAGUCCCGUAAUCAAAGCCGCAAGGCGCUUGAAGAUGAGCCUGCGUCCUAUUAGCUAGUUGGUGGGGUAACGGCCUACCAAGGCUCAGAUGGGUAGCCGGCCUGAGAGGGUGAACGGCCACACUGGGACUGAGACACGGCCCAGACUCCUACGGGAGGCAGCAGUGAGGAAUUUUGCGCAAUGGGGGAAACCCUGACGCAGCGACGCCGCGUGGAGGAU